AUUGAACGCUGGCGGCAUGCCUUACACAUGCAAGUCGAACGGCAGCACGGGAGCAAUCCUGGUGGCGAGUGGCGAACGGGUGAGUAAUGUAUCGGAACGUGCCUUGUCGUGGGGGAUAACGUAGCGAAAGCUACGCUAAUACCGCAUACCAUCUAAGGAUGAAAGCGGGGGAUCGCAAGACCUCGCGCGACAAGAGUGGCCGAUAUCAGAUUAGGUUGUUGGUGGGGUAAAGGCUCACCAAGGCGACGAUCCGUAGCUGGUCUGAGAGGACGACCAGCCACACUGGAACUGAGACACGGUCCAGACUCCUACGGGAGGCAGCAGUGGGGAAUUUUGGACAAUGGGCGCAAGCCUGAUCCAGCAAUUCCGCGUGAGUGAAGAAGGCCU
RNAcentral lists this ribosomal RNA (387 nucleotides) under uncultured bacterium. RNAcentral describes it as "bacterial SSU rRNA". It matches the Rfam family "Bacterial small subunit ribosomal RNA", at positions 30 to 417 of the family's 1533-position model. The record is from RNAcentral.